CGAUAUAUUUGAUCGACUACAUAACUGACGGAAGAAGAAAAGCUGAAAAGAGAGUAUCACCUUUAAGGACCCUGAUGAUAACUAUACCUACUGAUCACGCAUUACUCCUUUCUAUGGGGCUCGGUACUUUUUUCUUUUCUCUCGCUUUGAUAUUUACUUCAUGAUGAAAUGAUGAUGGACUGAAUUGAUUG
This 191-nucleotide small nucleolar RNA is filed under the name Trichophyton rubrum BMU01672. RNAcentral describes it as "CD-box snoRNA". Lineage: Eukaryota; Fungi; Ascomycota; Eurotiomycetes; Onygenales; Arthrodermataceae. The record is from RNAcentral.